RNAcentral lists this ribosomal RNA (492 nucleotides) under uncultured bacterium. RNAcentral describes it as "partial 16S ribosomal RNA". It matches the Rfam family "Bacterial small subunit ribosomal RNA", at positions 29 to 507 of the family's 1533-position model. The record is from RNAcentral.
AGUGAACGCUGGCGGUAGGCCUAACACAUGCAAGUCGAACGGCAGCACAGUAAGAGCUUGCUCUUACGGGUGGCGAGUGGCGGACGGGUGAGGAAUACAUCGGAAUCUACUUUUUCGUGGGGGAUAACGUAGGAAAACUUACGCUAAUACCGCAUACGACCUACGGCAGAAAGCAGGGGAUCUUCGGACCUUGCGCGAGUGAAUGAGCCGAUGUCGGAUUAGCUAGUUGGCGGGGUAAAGGCUCACCAAGGCGACGAUCCGUAGCUGGUCUGAGAGGAUGAUCAGCCACACUGGAACUGAGACACGGUCCAGACUCCUACGGGAGGCAGCAGUGGGGAAUAUUGGACAAUGGGCGCAAGCCUGAUCCAGCCAUACCGCGUGGGUGAAGAAGGCCUUCGGGUUGUAAAGCCCUUUUGUUGGGAAAGAAAAGCAGCAGGUUAAUACCCCGCUGUUCUGACGGUACCCAAAGAAUAAGCACCGGCUAACUUCGUG